UUGUUAGCCAUAUAUCCUUUAUGAUUCUAGAACCACUAGAUUAUGGAUAAGCCUAAACCACCUCUUUGCGUAAAAAAUGUGGAAGAGGGACAUUUAUUCCUCUUGAAAUAGUUUUCCAUAAAUUAUUUUUGGGGAACUCAACACUCUAACACAUGGUCCUUCGACCAUUAAUAUUUAAUUUUAGUCCUACACACACUUCUGAGAGACUUGCAAGC
This 215-nucleotide long non-coding RNA is filed under the name Elaeis guineensis (African oil palm). Its description in RNAcentral is "long non-coding RNA (EGUI_LNC005924)". The record is from RNAcentral. Lineage: Eukaryota; Viridiplantae; Streptophyta; Magnoliopsida; Arecales; Arecaceae.